This 474-nucleotide ribosomal RNA is filed under the name uncultured bacterium. RNAcentral's name for it is "bacterial SSU rRNA". It matches the Rfam family "Bacterial small subunit ribosomal RNA", at positions 15 to 518 of the family's 1533-position model. The record is from RNAcentral.
GAUUAUGGCUCAGAACGAACGCUGGCGGCAGGUCUUAGGCAUGCAAGUCGAACGGAUGACAAGGGAGCUUGCUUCCUUGAAGUCAGUGGCGCACGAGUGAGUAACGCGUGGGAAACUGCCCUUCACUGGGGAAUAACGUUUGGAAACGAACGCUAAUACCGCAUACGCCCGCAAGGGGAAAGAUUUAUCGGUGAUGGAUGUGCCCGCGUUGGAUUAGCUAGUUGGUGGGGUAAUGGCCUACCAAGGCGAUGAUCCAUAGCUGGUCUGAGAGGACGAUCAGCCACGCUGGAACUGAGACACGGUCCAGACUCCUACGGGAGGCAGCAGCUAAGAAUAUUGGGCAAUGGAGGAAACUCUGACCCAGCCCAUGCCGCGUGAAUGAAGAAGGCCUUCGGGUUGUAAAGUUCUUUUAGUCAUGAAGAUGAUGACAGUAGUGACAGAAAAAGCACCGGCUAACUUCGUGCCAGCAGCCGC